UACGAAGGGGGGCUAGCGUUGCUCGGAAUUACUGGGCGUAAAGGGCGCGUAGGCGGAUCGUUAAGUCAGAGGUGAAAGCCCAGGGGCUCAACCCUGGAAUUGCCUUUGAUACUGGCGAUCUUGAGUACGGGAGAGGUGUGUGGAACUCCGAGUGUAGAGGUGAAAUUCGUAGAUAUUCGGAAGAACACCAGUGGCGAAGGCGACACACUGGCCCGUUACUGACGCUGAGGCGCGAAAGCGUGGGGAGCAAACGGG
RNAcentral lists this ribosomal RNA (255 nucleotides) under uncultured bacterium. RNAcentral describes it as "partial 16S ribosomal RNA". It matches the Rfam family "Bacterial small subunit ribosomal RNA", at positions 524 to 776 of the family's 1533-position model. The record is from RNAcentral.